UACGGAGGGUGCGAGCGUUAAUCGGAAUUACUGGGCGUAAAGGGUGCGUAGGUGGUUCGUUAAGUUAUCUGUAAAAGCCCCGGGCUCAACCUGGGAAGGCCAGAUAAAACUGAUGAACUCGAGUAUAGGAGAGGGUAGUGGAAUUUCCGGUGUAGCGGUGAAAUGCGUAGAGAUCGGAAGGAACACCAGUGGCGAAGGCG
RNAcentral lists this ribosomal RNA (200 nucleotides) under uncultured bacterium. RNAcentral's name for it is "partial 16S ribosomal RNA". It matches the Rfam family "Bacterial small subunit ribosomal RNA", at positions 524 to 723 of the family's 1533-position model. The record is from RNAcentral.